RNAcentral lists this ribosomal RNA (345 nucleotides) under uncultured Gammaproteobacteria bacterium. Its description in RNAcentral is "bacterial SSU rRNA". It matches the Rfam family "Bacterial small subunit ribosomal RNA", at positions 1058 to 1398 of the family's 1533-position model. The record is from RNAcentral. Lineage: Bacteria; Pseudomonadati; Pseudomonadota; Gammaproteobacteria.
GCUCGUGUCUUGAGAUGUUGGGUUAAGUCCCGCAACGAGCGCAACCCCUGUCCUUAGUUGCCAGGCACGUAAUGGUGGGAACUCUAAGGAGACCUGCCGGUGACAAACCGGAGGAAGGUGGGGAUGACGUCAAGUCAUCAUGGCCCCUUACGACCAGGGCUACACACGUACUACAAUGGUAGGGACAGAGGGUCGCAAUACCGCGAGGUGGAGCCAAUCCCAGAAACCCUAUCUUAGUCCGGAUCGCAGUCUGCAACUCGGCUGCGUGAAGUCGGAAUCGCUAGUAAUCGCGGAUCAGCAUUGCCGCGGUGAAUACGUUCCCGGGCCUUGUACACACCGCCCGUC